Molecule: ribosomal RNA, 830 nt
Filed under: uncultured cyanobacterium
Lineage: Bacteria; Bacillati; Cyanobacteriota
Description: bacterial SSU rRNA
Rfam family: Bacterial small subunit ribosomal RNA
Source: RNAcentral
AGAGAUCAUGGCUCAGGAUGAACGCUGGCGAGAUGCUUUACACAUGCAAGUCGUACGAGAUUAACUCAAGUGGCGGACGGGUGAGUAACACGUAAGAAUUUGCCUUUAGGAGGGGGACAACAAUUGGAAACAAUUGCUAAUACCCCAUAUGCUUUCGAGUGAAAUGGAUUUUGUGAAUACAAUUUCAAUCAAUGAAAUCCGCCUGAAGAGAAGCUUGCGGCUGAUUAGCUUGUUGGUAAGGUAAUGGCUUACCAAGGCGACGAUCAGUAUCUGGUUUGAGAGGACGAUCAGACACACUGGAACUGAGACACGGUCCAGACUCCUACGGGAGGCAGCAGUGGGGAAUUUUCCGCAAUGGGCGAAAGCCUGACGGAGCAAUCUCGCGUGAGGGAUGACGGCCUAUGGGUUGUAAACCUCUUUUUUCAGGGAGGAAUAAAAUGACUGUACCUGAAGAAUAAGCAUCGGCUAACUCCGUGCCAGCAGCCGCGGUAAGACGGAGGAUGCAAGUGUUAUCCGGAAUCACUGGGCGUAAAGCGUCUGUAGGUGGUUUAAUAAGUCAACUGUUAAAUCUUGAGGCUCAACCUCAAAAUCGCAGUCGAAACUAUUAGGCUAGAGUAUAGUAGGGGUAAAGGGAAUUUCCAGUGGAGCGGUAAAAUGCGUAGAGAUUGGAAAGAACACCGAUGGCGAAGGCACUUUACUGGGCUAUUACUAACACUCAGAGACGAAAGCUAGGGUAGCAAAUGGGAUUAGAUACCCCAGUAGUCCUAGCCGUAAACAAUGGAUACUAAAUGUUGAACAGAUCGACCUGUGCAGUAUUAAAGCUAACGCGU